This 477-nucleotide ribosomal RNA is filed under the name Cyrtodactylus rubidus (red bow-fingered gecko). RNAcentral's name for it is "partial large subunit ribosomal RNA". It matches the Rfam family "Bacterial large subunit ribosomal RNA", at positions 1933 to 2609 of the family's 2925-position model. Lineage: Eukaryota; Metazoa; Chordata; Lepidosauria; Squamata; Gekkonidae. The record is from RNAcentral.
GCGGUAUCCUAACCGUGCAAAGGUAGCGCAAUCACUUGUCCCCUAAAUAGGGACCAGUAUGAACGGCUAAAUGAGGGUACAACUGUCUCCUACGGCCAAUCAAUGAAACUGAUCACCCAGUACAAAAGCUGGGAUAAACACACAAGACGAGAAGACCCUGUGGAACUUUAAAUACCACCACUAACCACCAAAGUGAAAUAGUGGAUCUUUUAAGUUGGGGCGACUACGGAGUAAAACAAAACCUCCACGACAAUAGGGCCCAACCCCCCAAAGGACAACACACCAACAGGAACCACACAAAUGACCCAGACAACUGAGUACCGAACCAAGUUACCCCAGGGAUAACAGCGCCAUCCCCCUCAAGAGUCCAUAUCGCCAGGGGGGCUUACGACCUCGAUGUUGGAUCAGGACACCCAAGUGGUGCAGUCGCUACUAAAGGUCCGUUUGUUCAACGGCUAACGUCCUACGUGAUCUGAG